This 253-nucleotide ribosomal RNA is filed under the name uncultured bacterium. RNAcentral describes it as "partial 16S ribosomal RNA". It matches the Rfam family "Bacterial small subunit ribosomal RNA", at positions 524 to 776 of the family's 1533-position model. The record is from RNAcentral.
UACGUAGGGUGCAAGCGUUAAUCGGAAUUACUGGGCGUAAAGCGUGCGCAGGCGGUGAUGUAAGACAGGUGUGAAAUCCCCGGGCUUAACCUGGGAACUGCAUUUGUGACUGCAUCGCUGGAGUACGGUAGAGGGGGAUGGAAUUCCGCGUGUAGCAGUGAAAUGCGUAGAUAUGCGGAGGAACACCGAUGGCGAAGGCAAUCCCCUGGACCUGUACUGACGCUCAUGCACGAAAGCGUGGGGAGCAAACAGG